Molecule: ribosomal RNA, 472 nt
Filed under: uncultured bacterium
Lineage: Bacteria
Description: partial 16S ribosomal RNA
Rfam family: Bacterial small subunit ribosomal RNA
Source: RNAcentral
GACGAACGCUGGCGGCGUGCUUAACGCAUGCAAGUCGAACGGGAGUAUUGAAGAAGCUUGCUUUAGAGAUACUUUAGUGGCGGACGGGUGAGUAACGCGUGAGGAGCUGUCCAAUGCAGGGGGACAACAGUUGGAAACGACUGCUAAUACACCAUAAGCCGAGAGGUAAAAGGAUUUAUCCGGCAAUGGAGGUACUCGCGUCCUAUCAGCUAGUAGGUGAGGUAACGGCUCACCUAGGCGAAGACGGGUAGCCGGCCUGAGAGGGCGAACGGCCACACUGGAACUGAGAUACGGUCCAGACUCCUACGGGAGGCAGCAGUGGGGAAUAUUGGGCAAUGGGGGGAACCCUGACCCAGCGACGCCGCGUGGGUGAAGAAAUCCUUCGGGAUGUAAAGCCCUGUUGUAUGGGAAGAGCGGAAGACGGUACCAUACGAGGAAGCCCCGGCAAACUACGUGCCAGCCGCCGCCGUAA